This 668-nucleotide ribosomal RNA is filed under the name Pterygodium vermiferum. Its description in RNAcentral is "eukaryotic LSU rRNA". The stretch from base 213 to 368 matches the Rfam family "5.8S ribosomal RNA". Lineage: Eukaryota; Viridiplantae; Streptophyta; Magnoliopsida; Asparagales; Orchidaceae. The record is from RNAcentral.
CACAUGUGAAUUAAUGGGCAGCUAACUUUUGUUGCUGUGCACCCGUCCGUCUGACUCACGGAAUGCUCGCGGGAGGUUGGUUCCGCAGGCGGACGGGAGAUCAAAAAUGGGCGCAGCACCGCGCCAAGAAAAAUAUGUAGCCCGAGCGAAGACGGCAUGCCCCAAAACGUAUGAUUUGRCGGCAUGCUGUUUGCGCUCCCGAAGAAUUGUAGGACUCUCGGCAAUGGAUAUCUUGGCUCUCGCAUCGAUGAAGAGCGCAGCGAAAUGCGAUACGUGGUGCGAAUUGCAGAAUCCCGUGAACCAUCGAGUUUUUGAACGCAAGUUGCGCCCGAGGCCAACUGGCCAAGGGCACGUCCGCCUGGGCGUCAAGCAUGGCAUCGCUCCGUUCGACACCCGCCGUCAAUGUAUUGCGUCGGUGUCGUCUUGGAUGCGGAGAAUGGCUCGUCGUGCGCUUUGUUGCGUGGCGGGUUAAAGAGUGGGGUGAUUUUCUCUUUGCGAUGAUCGAUAAAUGGGUGGGAUUGCGGCAGCAGGCAGGAUCCUCAUCAUCGGAUGGUUGCCUUGAGAAAGAUAAUGAAACCCCGGCCUAACCCGACUCAGUUGUUGUUGGAAGCAAAUUGAAAUGCGGCCCCAGGAUGGGCGGGGUGACCCGCUGAGUUUAAGCAUAUCAA